AUGGCCUUUUAUACAGGAGGGACUAUUUGUCCACUGAACUAUAGAGAACUGCUGGCAAAACAAGAAAAGGACACCAGCUUACUUUUAUUGCAUAGGAGUGACAGGAUCGACGACCAAAGAAAGGUAAUACUACAAAAUUGUCAGCAGAGCUCACGGAGAAUUGUCCACCACGAGCCAAUUUUCUCUGCCUAUCAGCGUGCGUCGCUAGUACCAGAAACCGUAUGGGUGCUGAUAUCGUGGUGGCCAUUAGCCAAGUGGACAGUUUCGUUGGACUUGGAUUUAAGUCACAACUGUCUGUCCAACUGA
This 306-nucleotide ribosomal RNA is filed under the name Triticum aestivum (bread wheat). RNAcentral's name for it is "partial small subunit ribosomal RNA". Lineage: Eukaryota; Viridiplantae; Streptophyta; Magnoliopsida; Poales; Poaceae. The record is from RNAcentral.